Molecule: unclassified non-coding RNA, 329 nt
Filed under: soil metagenome
Description: partial contains 5.8S ribosomal RNA, internal transcribed spacer 2, and large subunit ribosomal RNA
Rfam family: 5.8S ribosomal RNA (bases 1-120)
Source: RNAcentral
GAUGAAGAACGUAGCGAAAUGCGAUACGUAAUGUGAAUUGCAGAAUUCAGUGAAUCAUCGAGUCUUUGAACGCACAUUGCGCCCCCUGGUAUUCCGGGGGGCAUGCCUGUCCGAGCGUCAUUAUAACCCCUCAAGCUCAGCUUGGUGUUGGGGCCUGCUGCACUGGCAGCCCUUAAAAUCAGUGGCGGCGCCAUCUGGCUCUAAGCGUAGUAAUUCUUCUCGCUAUGGAGUCCUGGUGGAUGCUUGCCAUCAACCCCCAAUUUUUCUAUGGUUGACCUCGGAUCAGGUAGGGAUACCCGCUGAACUUAAGCAUAUCAAUAAGCGGAGGA